RNAcentral lists this ribosomal RNA (873 nucleotides) under uncultured bacterium. RNAcentral describes it as "bacterial SSU rRNA". It matches the Rfam family "Bacterial small subunit ribosomal RNA", at positions 26 to 870 of the family's 1533-position model. The record is from RNAcentral.
AGGACGAACGCUGGCGGCGUGCCUAAUACAUGCAAGUCGAGCGAGCGGAACUAACAGAUUUACUUCGCACAAGUGGUUAACAAAGCGAGCGCCCGAGGGUGAAUGACCUGUGCUUAAUCUUCCCCCUGGUCUGCUGUACCACUUGCAAACAGGACUAAUACCGGAUAAGAUGGUGAUCGCAUGAUCAGCUUUUAAAAGGGCCCGCAGGCUGUCACUUUGGGAUGGCCCCAAUGGGCUUUCGCUAGUUGGACAGGUAAACGGUCACCAAGGGUAUAAUGCCUCGUCGAGACUAAAAACUGAUCCGCCCCCUUGCGACUGACACCCGGGCCAAACUCCUACCGGAGGCAGCAAUCCGGAAUCUUCCACACCGCACGCAAGUCUAAUGGAUCAACGCCGCGUGCUCGAUUAACGUUUUCGGAUCGGAAACUUCUGUUGUAGGGAAAAAAAGAUCCAGGUAACUACUGGCCUUUAUUUGACGGAAAUCAACCGGAGAGUCACGGCUAACUACUUGCCGGCCGCCGCGAUAUUACAUGUGUGGUGAGCCUUCUCCGGAUUUAUUGCGCGUAUAGCCUGCGCACGUGGAAGAAUAACUCUGAUGUCUAAGCCCUCGGCUUAACCGAUGAACUGCCUGGGAAACUGUUCUUCUUGAGUGCAUAAGAGGAGAGUGCAACUCCAUGUGUACCGGUCUCUUGCGUAUAUAUGUGGAAGAACACCAGAGGCGAAGGCAGCUCUCUGGACUGCAUCUGACGCUGAGGCUCGAAAGCAUGGGUGGGCGAUAGGAGUAGAUACCCUGCCAGUCCAUGCCGGACACGAUGAACGCUAAAAGCGGCCAGGCUGGCGACUCUCACCGCUGGGCUAACGUAUAAGCACUCC